RNAcentral lists this ribosomal RNA (253 nucleotides) under uncultured bacterium. Its description in RNAcentral is "partial 16S ribosomal RNA". It matches the Rfam family "Archaeal small subunit ribosomal RNA", at positions 474 to 727 of the family's 1478-position model. The record is from RNAcentral.
UACCAGCACCCCGAGUGGUCGGGACGAUUAUUGGGCCUAAAGCCUCCGUAGCCGGUUUUACAAGUCCUCCGUUAAAUCCAACUGCUUAACAGAUGGGCCGCGGAGGAUACUAUAAGACUAGGAGGCAGGAGAGGCAAGCGGUACUCAGUGGGUAGGGGUAAAAUCCGUUGAUCCAUUGAAGACCACCAGUGGCGAAGGCGGCUUGCCAGAAUGCGCUCGACGGUGAGGGAUGAAAGCUGGGGGAGCAAACCGG